Molecule: long non-coding RNA, 8842 nt
Filed under: Ananas comosus (pineapple)
Lineage: Eukaryota; Viridiplantae; Streptophyta; Magnoliopsida; Poales; Bromeliaceae
Description: long non-coding RNA (ACOM_LNC035677)
Source: RNAcentral
AGGUGGGUUGUGCUUUACCGAAGUGAUUAGGUCACUUCCAUGCCAAAGUAAAUCGUGGUUUCAUUUGAUGCAUAUAUGAAUGAAAUUGUCGAAAUGUAAACAUAGAUGCUAAAGCAUACAUAAUUGUUGACACAUGAAAGCGAACAUUUGAUGCAUAUGUCUAAACAUACAUGAAUAUGAAUAUGGAUGAUCAUGUUAGAUAAUAUAUGACCAUUGACAUAUGAAUGCUAGAUGCCUAUGAAUGCAUGAGUGGUAAAUACUAGAGACAUAAGAAUAAAUAUAUAUGAAUAUGAAUCUCAUGCUAGAUGAUACAUGAUGAUUGUCAUAUGACGAACAUGCUAGACGCAUACGAAUGCAUUGUAGUUCAUGCUAAAUGCAUAGGAUUGUCGGUAUAUGAACAUAUGAAUGAUAAAUGAUAUAUGAAUGUUGAACAUGCUAAAGUCACAUAAGUUGAAUAUAAAACGUGUAAACCAUAAUCCUAGGAAUGGACAACUAGGAUCAUACAUAGAUCGAGUGGCAUGGCAUGAACCUAGGGUUAUUAAACGUAGGUUGGAUAUGAAAUGAACCUAGUGUUAUUAACCAUAGGUUGGACAUAAAAUGAACCGAGUGUUAUUAAACAUAGGUUAAAUAAGAAUGAUGUUAAACCUAAUUUAAAGAACAUAGGUUGUGAAAUGAAAAGUGCUUAACCUAGAGUCAAGUGAACCUAGGUUGGAAAGAAUGAUGGUCCUAGGGAUAAUAAACCUAGGCUAAGAAUAUAAUAAGAAUCGAACCUAAAGUGUUAAAUUAGGUCGAGUAAAGACUUGGACCUAGAUCGGUCGAUUCCAUAGGGUUAAGACUAACCCUCGAAUAAUGUGAAAUGGAUUCCGGAAUCUCAAAGCUUGUUGAUACACCCAAAGGGGUGUCGGGUGUGUGCGACGAUUUCGCCGCCCAAGGGCUAAAGAACCAUUGUCGUGGCGUGUGCGACGAUUUCGCCGCCGGAUGGUUAGCCAGUUUAUGGAUCCUACCGCCUGUUGACUGAACCACUGUCGUGGCGUUGUGCGACGAUUUCGCCGCCGGGUGGCUAAGUCAUUUACCUAGGCCGUUGUUGGGUGAGGUGCGAUUGUUCGCCACCAGACGGCUAGGACAGGAGUACGGUGAGCUGUUGCCAGCUGAGGUGCAUGUGAGAGUUCCUUCACCUCGAGCUAGACAGUGCGCGGACUAUCCGCGAUUGAUUGACUCAAGACCGAGUCGGGUGGCUAGAUGACUAAGGUAAAGUAAUCUUAGGAAAGAAUCGCCAGUGAGCACAAUAUGAUAAAGAAUAAAGAAUAAAAAUAAAGAAUAGCUAAUGAACGUAAAUAGCUAAUAAAGAACGGCUACAAGUAAAGAAUGGUUAAAGAUAUAAAGUAGGAUCAGUAGAUCUACUUGUUACAUAGUUGCAUGAUUUACAUAUUGCAUAUCGCGAGGCAAGGUAUGGUUUUAUUAAUUGUAUCAUCGAAUAUCUAUCUAUCUGUUCAGUUUACUAACCUGCAGUUGCCUCCUUUGGACCUGGUGGGUCGAGCUCUUCCCUUGGGUGGCCGUACCCACUGGGAACUAUAUUUAUAUAGUUCUCACCCCCGUGUUGUUUUGGGGGUACAGGUUAGCACGUGAGCGGCGCGGCGGCGCGAGGACAGGGCGUAGCUCCGUAGAUAGCGCCCUACCACCGAGACCAGAGAUAGCAGUACCUUGAAGUGGUCUAGCAUCAGAGUUUAGAGUGUAAAUUGAAAGAAUCAAAUUUGUAGUAAAUUGUAUAAGUUGUAAAUUGUAAAAUUGUAUAGAGGCUUAUGUAAUAACUUAAAGGUAUUUGAGAUUUUGUAAAUGUAAAAUCUGUGAGAUGAAUGCUUGUAAUAGCAUUGUUAGCCUUUUAUGUUUUUUGAUACUUAUACAAUCUAUGUGUGAAUGCUGUUCCUGGUUGGGACCUCUUCUGUUGCAUUAUAUGGAUUGUGACGCCUAGGACGUACAGGGAAAGCUCUGUCCGUUCGGCGGUCUGUCGGCGUGCCCGAAUCUGACCAAAUUGGCGGAGCUCGGGGCGUGACAGAUUAAGUGGUAUCAGAGCAUAAAAGAGCAUAAAAAGAAUAAUAGAAACGGUUUAGAUGGACCUAGGAGACCUAGGAUAGUAAACCGUAAGGACUUACACUCGUGAGAGACGAGGACUUGUACGUGUGGCGAAAGAUAAAUCGAUUGGGUCAAGUUUAGUAAACCUCUAUGACGGAUAUUAGAGGUAGAUUCAAGGUUCAAUUUAUUCUCAGCCAAGUGAGUUCAUGUUGGGUCGACACAACAUGAAACCGAGGGAUGGGAAUAAACUUCCUUGCAUGACUUUCGCCCGAUUUGAGUCGGUAUUAAUUAUUUCGUAUUCGACCCAGGAGGUCGAGGACUAACUGAGUUGUCGUGUUUCAGGAAGCGAUGGCGCCGCGUAGGCGAUCUUCGUCUAGAUCGGCGCGGGAUAGGACAAGUGGUGUCCCUGAGAAGACUGAGGCGAGCGGAGACUUGGAGCUUCGUGAGCAGUUGACCACACUCGUGGGAGUGGUGAGGCAACAGGCGGAUGUAGUGCAGCGUCAGCAGGACGCUGCUCUGCGCCAAGAUGAGCGGAUAAAGAGACUCCAGGAGACGGUGGAUCAGUUAGUGACUGCACCAGUUUUGGCUCGUCGUGUACGGCCAGGAGUCGCAGCGGAGGCAUUCCAGUCGGGCUCGAGCAAUCCGACUGCUCUUAGUUCAGAGAUGGAAGCGGAAAGGGAGCGUGCUUUGGCGGCUCUCAUGACCUUCAAGAAGUUUGAUCCUACUACUUUCGAUGGAGAGGACAUAGAUCCAUGGACUGUGGAGUCGUGGAUUGAUUCCAUAGAGACUGUCUUCGAGGAUUUGUACAUGGUGGAGCGGGACAAGGUACACCUAGCCGUGCAUUGUCUACAAUUGUCGGCGAAGGAAUGGUGGAAAGGCGUUAAACGGAACCGAUCGCCUAGUCUCCCUCCGAUGACUUGGCAAGAAUUUCGGGAGUUGAUACUUUCAGUUUAUUUCCCCGAUAGUGAAAAGAGAAAGCUUCGGGACAGAUUUCGAAAAUUGCGGCAGGGAGACCGCCUUGUGAGGGAAUACGAGCAGGAAUUCUCUCGUAUCGUGAACUAUAUUCCAAGUGUGGUACGGGACGACAAGGAUCGAGCUGAUUGUUUUGUACGAGGACUUCGGCCUGGUAUUUUUGAAGCAGUGCAUAAUCUAAAGUUGCAGACUUUUGCUGAAGUCUUGGAUCGGGCCUUAUGGAUAGAACAAGGCAAUGCAUCGGUGCAGGAGGAGCGCGAAUCUUAUUACAAGGAAAAAGGAAAAGAACGACCAGCGAGUGGGUAUGAUGGUCAGUCAAGUUCUCAGCGGACCACUGGGAGUUCGCGCUCGCGAUCCCGAGCUCCGGGGACGUAUCGCAGUCGAUCCUCGGCAUGUUGUGUUAUUUGUGGGGGUCCUCACUACCCACAGCAGUGUGAGCAACGAGAUGGCAAGUGCUUCAGGUGUGGGCGGCCAGGUCAUGCGCGGGACGAGUGUCCACGAGGUGCUAACCAAGCCUUGACGCUGGCGACGGCAUUUUCACCUGCGGCACGGUUUGGAGAGCGACAGAGGAUAAGGCAACCGAGGGGUUCGCGAUGGGCAACAAGUGGUCGUGGAUAGGCGACCCAUGCGGUGGAACCUGCUGCGACUGGUAGUAAUGUAGCAGGUAUGAGUUAAUUACAGCAAGCAUGUUUUCUGCAUUAUGUAAAUUUAGUGCAUUGCAUGCAUUGAUUACGUAGUCGUUACUACUAAUUGUGCGGUAGUAUUGCAGAGACCAAGCAGACGGGUAAAUGUCCCAGUUAUGCUUGUGUAUGUAAGUUGUGGUAUCUGUUGAGGCAGGCAGAGAGUUCUAGAACACUAGCAAUCGCUGGUGAUAGCUUGUGAAUAAAGAGUGGAACUCUUGUGAGACCGAGCGUUUUGCAGAUUGUUCCGGUAGAUCGAAUAGUGAAAGUAGAAUCACUAUUGAGGAAAUGAUCGGUUAACGGUCAGGUGCGUGCACGUGGACCUAGUAGUACCUCGGAUUGAGGUAAGUGGGUCGUGCUCGUGUAGUCGGUGUGCAUAGGCAAGAGUUGCCUGAUGCUAGAUUUAGUAUAGCACGCUAUAGAGUCGUGUAGAGCACUCGAGUAUAGGUACUCAUAGAGUGUGGAUUUGAUUCAGCCGUGAGUGCUUUGGCAGUAGCACUUUAGCGCUACUAAGGGUGAAGCGUGCCAGAGGUCACUCGCAGGGCUGGUGGCUCGCACUAGGUGCUUAAGAGCCGUUAGAGUGUGUAGCUCUGUAGAGCAUGUCGUGUAGGACGAUGUUGGCGGGUAGUGCUUGGGGACGAUCCGUGCCUGGACCAAAUGUGGACUGUGGAGCCUGGACCCAUUGGGCAGGCGCAGUCAGCUGUGAGAGGCAGCGGCCCGGUACCUACGGGUAGGGUAGAGAGAUUUGGUCAGGACGGUAGUCCGAGCAUGGAUUGGUAACGUGGUAAAUCACGUAUUGAAUCGUGUUGUUGGUAGUAUGCCUGGAAGGCAGAUUUGACCUAACCCUAAGAUUUAUAGUGGUUAGAGAUUGAAAUUACUCCUAGUUGGAGUAGGUAUGCGAUAUCUCAAAUAAGAACUGUGUCUCGCGAUAAUUGGGUCUACGCUUGCGAGCGAGAGACGUUGAGUUAAGUGAUAAGUCUAGCAAAUCGCCGAUCUGAUUUGCGAACAGAUUUGUGGUAAUUGAGACAAGUAGUUUACCCAUGUGUUUAGGGACCGUGAGAGCGAAGGCUUGGUCCUGUGGAUUAUUUAGUCAGAAUUGCUAAGAUAAGCAUCGAUGACGAGCUGAGAUUGGAAACGCAAACAAAGUGUUCGUAGAGACUGAUUCGGAGGAAUCGGGGUAGCAUGGACUGAAAUUCAGAAGCUAUGGAAUGAAGUUGAGAAACUUUGGAAGAGGGUUGAAAUUUAUCUCCAUCCGUUAAGUAAUGAGGAAUAAGAUGUAUCUGAGUUUCGCGGACGAAACUUUUGUUAACGGGAGGAGAAUGUAACAUAUGGAAACUUGGAGUUGCGAUGUCAACUUUGACCUAGAGGGUCAAAGUGAGGAUUGAGCUAGUUGGACAUCAUCCCCGAGUGAUUUGUGAUGCGUGUGAAUGAAUUCUGGAGAUAAAUAAGUGUUUCGGCGCAAAUUGGGCGCGAAACGAAAUGUAAAGAGAGUAAAGAGAAUUUUCGAAAUUCCGAUGCUAACUUUGAUUAAAAGAAUUAAAAUAAGGCGUAAGGAUAAAUUGUGGUAUCUCCGAAUCAAUUGUGAAGUUUUGGUAAAGCCAAGGGUGUGUUUUCACAGGGUUUGAAGAGCUCAGUGCGAAGUGGUAGUGCAAAAAGGCCAUGUAAUGGAAUUGGAGCCGAUUCUAUUUCUAAUUCGGCUCAAAUAAUGUCAAAAUGAAAACGAAUUGCUUCCAAAUUGGAUUGGUAGCUUGUGAAGGUCCCUUGGUAUCUUUUGGACAUGUUUGGGUGAAAUCGGAGUGAAAACGAAAACUUUAGAAUUUUCUGUAAAGAACGGGACUGAGAAAAUUAGCAGAAAAUGCACAGUGUCAGAAAAUUAUGAAAACUGGCAGAGAUGUCAGGAACAUUUUUAUGAGGCUAGAUUUGAAGUUUCAGAUUUUUCUGACACCUGUAGAGAGAGAAAUAGCAUUUGGAAGUUAUCGGAUAAAGAUUACAGUUCGGGACAGUUCGCAGUGACCAAACGGGGUCGAAACUGAAAUGUUAAAAUUUCAGUGGACUUGUUAAGUAAAACCGAGCAUGCCUGUCAAAUUUGAGCUCAAUCGGACAUUUGGAAGGGCCUGCGAAAGGUAUCUGAUCCGAGUUGCUAAACGGAUUAGUAGAAGGGCAUUAUGGUAAUUAUUCCAUUACUUAGUGGAUUUCCACUAAGCUGCCAGGGGCAUCUUUAUCCUCUUCACCCUCCUGUACGCAUGAGAGAGAGAGUGAAAGGAAGAGAAAAGGAAUAGAGAGAAGAAGAAGAAGAAAGUAACAUAUUUUGGUGCCGUUUGUCGAGCCGAUCGAUUCCCCGCGCGCGUUGGAUUUUUCCGGCGCUUCGAUUGCGAAGUUAGUAUUCUAUUAUUAUGGUUUCAAAUCAGGUUUUGGUGAAUUCUUGACAGUGGAUGCUAAGAAAGGUGUUCUAGAUGGAUUUUCAUUGAAAUUGAAGUUUAGAAUUGAAUCUAUGCUAAAAUUAAAGUUCAGAAAUCGAUUUCUAUGUGAUUUAGAAGCCGAUUUUGCGAGCGUUUCGUCGACGGAUUUUUCCGUGACUUUCGGAUUGUUGUGGCUGCCAUGCGGAUUGGGUUUGGGCUGUGAGGUUGCUGCCAAGUGCAGGAAUUGCAUUGAUUAAUCUUGAUUAAAUGGAUCAAGAUAAUGCAAUAAAUAAAGUUGGUUUGUUCUUGGAUUAAAUUGGAAGCUCGUGGAGGUUCAUUAGUAUAUUGUGGAAGUGAUUAGAGGUGCUCGAAGUGGAUUGAAGUGCUGAAAUGGGCUGCUAUUGUUGCUGCUGCUGUUGUCUAGUGCAAAGAAAGGGGCUGCAGGGACUGUUUUGUAAAAAAAAAACUGCAGGGACUGUUUUGUAAACCAGAAUUUCAGCAUUGUGUGUUGGGUGUUGGCCUUGGCAGCUAGGAGUAAACAACCAGCUCUUAUGCAGGUUUUGAUUAGGGAUUGAUGUAAAUCUCUUCAAUCUCUUCGUUGAAGGUCUUUGGGGUAUUGGAACUUCGAUUGGGGUAUAGAAAAGCUAUAUGUUGUGUAAAUAACAUAUGAGCUUUUAGGUUGAUGUGAAGCUUUAGGAAUGAGAAAUAACAGGAGUUGAUUUCUAAUAUUCCUAAGUUAGUGGCUUCGAGUUUGUCGGAUUAAUGAAGCCUAGGUUUCUAUAAAGGUUCUUAUAGAACCUGUAUAGAAACAGGUUGUAUUAAGUGUAGAGUGUGUAUAGUGAUAGGUUAAUUGGAACCUAAACUUGAUAAUGCACUUUUGCAGGAUAGAAGUCCUAAUGUGAAAUUGACCGCGUACAAACCUAAUUGAGGGUAAAGGAAACGCGUUGGCGAAGUCGGUUCGGCAAUCCGUCGAGCCUACGCGAAGAUAUCGCCGAAAGAAGAUUUUUCGGCUACAAUUGGCACGAGCGCGGGUCGCGAAUCUCGGGAAAGCGCGGGAAGCGAAUUUCUCGCGUCCAGGUAUCAACUAAAGGUGGGUUGUGCUUUACCGAAGUGAUUAGGUCACUUCCAUGCCAAAGUAAAUCGUGGUUUCAUUUGAUGCAUAUAUGAAUGAAAUUGUCGAAAUGUAAACAUAGAUGCUAAAGCAUACAUAAUUGUUGACACAUGAAAGCGAACAUUUGAUGCAUAUGUCUAAACAUACAUGAAUAUGAAUAUGGAUGAUCAUGUUAGAUAAUAUAUGACCAUUGACAUAUGAAUGCUAGAUGCCUAUGAAUGCAUGAGUGGUAAAUACUAGAGACAUAAGAAUAAAUAUAUAUGAAUAUGAAUCUCAUGCUAGAUGAUACAUGAUGAUUGUCAUAUGACGAACAUGCUAGACGCAUACGAAUGCAUUGUAGUUCAUGCUAAAUGCAUAGGAUUGUCGGUAUAUGAACAUAUGAAUGAUAAAUGACAUAUGAAUGUUGAACAUGCUAAAGUCACAUAAGUUGAAUAUAAAACGUGUAAACCAUAAUCCUAGGAAUGGACAACUAGGAUCAUACAUAGAUCGAGUGGCAUGGCAUGAACCUAGGAUUAUUAAACAUAGGUUGGAUAUGAAAUGAACCUAGUGUUAUUAACCAUAGGUUGGACAUAAAAUGAACCGAGUGUUAUUAAACAUAGGUUAAAUAAGAAUGAUGUUAAACCUAAUGUAAAGAACAUAGGUUGUGAAAUGAAAAGUGCUUAACCUAGAGUCAAGUGAACCUAGGUUGGAAAGAAUGAUGGUCCUAGGGAUAAUAAACCUAGGCUAAGAAUAUAAAAGAAUCGAACCUAAAGUGUUAAAUUAGGUCGAGUAAAGACUUGGACCUAGAUCGGUCGAUUCCAUAAGGUUAAGACUAACCCUCGAGUAAUGUGAAAUAGACUCCGGAAUCUCAAAGCUUGUUGAUACACCCAGAGGGGUGUGGGGUGUGUGCGACGAUUGCGCCGCCCAGGGGCUAGAGAACCAUUGUCGUGGCGUGUGUGCGACGAUUUCGCCGCCGGAUGGUUAGCGAGUUUGUGGAUCCUACCGCCUGUUGACUGAACCACUGUCGUGGCGUGUGUGCGACGAUUUCGCCGCCGGGUGGCUAAGUCAUUGAACCUAGGCCGUUGUUGGGUGAGUUGCGAUUCGUUCGCCGCCAGACGGCUAGGACAGGAGUACGGUGAGCUGUUGCCAGCUGAGGUGCAUGUGAGAGUUCCUUCACCUCGAGCUAGACAGUGCGCGGACUAUCCGCGAUUGAUUGACUCAAGACCGAGUCGGGUGGCUAGAUGACUAAGGUAAAGUAACCUUAGGAAAGAAUCGCCAGUGAGCACAAUAUGAUAAAGAAUAAAGAAUAAAAAUAAAGAAUAGCUAAUGAACGUAAAUAGCUAAUAAAGAACGGCUACAAGUAAAGAAUGGUUAAAGAUAUAAAGUAGGAUCAGUAGAUCUACUUGUUACAUAGUUGCAUGAUUUACAUAUUGCAUAUCGCGAGGCAAGGUAUGGUUUUAUUAAUUGUAUCAUCGAAUAUCUAUCUAUCUGUUCAGUUUACUAACCUGCAGUUGCCUCCUUUGGACCUGGUGGGUCGAGCUCUUCCCUUGGGUGGCCGUACCCACUGGGAACUAUAUUUAUAUAGUUCUCACCCCCGUGUUGUUUUGGGGGUACAGGUUAGCACGUGAGCG